UCAAGAAAAUAAAAUAGGAGACAAAAGGAAAGAUAAGAACCUAGUCCACAAAGCAACCGAAAAUGACGAUUUCCCGGGAGAGAAUAUUUCUUUAAUGAAGAAGAGGUUCCAACAAAUGCAGAAGCCUAGAUCAUUUGAGAAUCCUCAAAAGACGACGAACAAAGACAUCAGAGAACGUUAUACGACAAAUGCAGAAGCCUAGAUCAUAUCAUCAAAUUUUAUUCCUUGUGGACUCUUGAAUACAAAAGGAACAACCUAGAAAAGUAAAAAGAGAUCAGGAACAAUCAACACAUUCCUUCAAAUCAUAUACUAAUCAAUCAAGAGGUUAUUUAUCUAUCAAAUAAGCUUUUGCGGCAAUGGGAAAUUCAUCUGGGGAAGAAUCUGAUGAGGCGGGACUUGAAAACCAAUUCUUACUUGCAAUGGAAGAAACUGUGUGAGUCCAAAGAAACAAUCAUGACACAAAUGACUGGAAUAGGCUCAAAAAAAGAUGAAGAUGACUAGAUGUCCAAGAACUGGACAGGGGCAAGUGUUUCUGCUGGAGGUAUACAACAGGUCAUAGAAAACAUCAAGAAGAAGCAUUGGAGGAAAUUUUAGAAGGAAGUUAUAGCAGCUUGCUAUGGAGUUGUGCUUUAUCAUACUUAGCGUGCUAGAAAUUGGAAGAAAUUUAGAAAUAAGAAUGUAGAUAUUAUAGAGGCUAAAACUAAGAGAGCACAGAAUUGUAGAAGUUUAUUAGAGAACUAGAGCUGUAAUUAGUUGUUUGUUUUGUUGGAGACCUCAUUUCUACCAAUAGAAAUAAGGUGUUCUUUAAUUGUAAUUGUGUUUUUUAUGGUUA
Solanum pennellii is the source of this 832-nucleotide long non-coding RNA. RefSeq lists it as uncharacterized. Lineage: Eukaryota; Viridiplantae; Streptophyta; Magnoliopsida; Solanales; Solanaceae. The record is from RefSeq and is a predicted model, not a curated record. The transcript is spliced from 2 exons.